Molecule: long non-coding RNA, 392 nt
Filed under: Homo sapiens (human)
Lineage: Eukaryota; Metazoa; Chordata; Mammalia; Primates; Hominidae
Description: HSALNT0197913
Source: RNAcentral
CUUCUCUGGAGCCAGUGUCAAAUGUUAUAAUGAUUAUAAUUUGUAUGUAUUACAGUGGGCCUGUUCACACUCAUUAUUUUGUAUUUCCAAAAGCAUCCAGGCCCGGUGUGGUAGGGCAUGCCUGUAGCCCCAGCUACUCUGUAGGUUGAGGUAGGAGGAUCACUUGAGCCCAGGAGUUCAGGGCUGCAGUGAGCUAUGGUUAUGCCAUUGCACUUCAGCCUGGACAACACAGUAAGACCCUGUCAAAAAAAAAAAAAAAGUGUCCGAAUUGUUCUUGAACCUUUUUUCUUACACAUAAACUUUAGAAUUUUGAGAUUCUGAUUGGAGUCGAUGAGUUAUAUAAAUCAUUUGAGGUCAAAUUAUCUUCACAAUCUGAAGUCUUCCUAUCCCAG